This 253-nucleotide ribosomal RNA is filed under the name uncultured bacterium. RNAcentral describes it as "partial 16S ribosomal RNA". It matches the Rfam family "Bacterial small subunit ribosomal RNA", at positions 524 to 776 of the family's 1533-position model. The record is from RNAcentral.
UACGGGGGGGGCAAGCGUUGUUCGGAAUUACUGGGCGUAAAGGGCUCGUAGGUGGCCAACUAAGUCAGACGUGAAAUCCCUCGGCUUAACCGGGGAACUGCGUCUGAUACUGGAUGGCUUGAGUUCGGGAGAGGGAUGCGGAAUUCCAGGUGUAGCGGUGAAAUGCGUAGAUAUCUGGAGGAACACCGGUGGCGAAGGCGGCUCACUGGACCGGAACUGACGCUGAGGCGCGAAAGCGUGGGGAGCAAACAGG